Molecule: ribosomal RNA, 386 nt
Filed under: uncultured Flavobacteriia bacterium
Lineage: Bacteria; Pseudomonadati; Bacteroidota; Flavobacteriia
Description: bacterial SSU rRNA
Rfam family: Bacterial small subunit ribosomal RNA
Source: RNAcentral
GUAAUACGGAGGAUCCAAGCGUUAUCCGGAAUCAUUGGGUUUAAAGGGUCCGCAGGCUGUUUUUUAAGUCAGAGGUGAAAUCCUACAGCUCAACUGUAGAACUGCCUUUGAUACUGGAAAACUUGAGUUAUUGUGAAGUGGUUAGAAUGUGUGGUGUAGCGGUGAAAUGCAUAGAUAUCACACAGAAUACCGAUUGCGAAGGCAGAUCACUAACAAUAUACUGACGCUCAUGGACGAAAGCGUGGGGAGCGAACAGGAUUAGAUACCCUGGUAGUCCACGCCGUAAACGAUGGAUACUAGCUGUUCGUCUAACAUUGGUUAGAUGAGUGGCUAAGCGAAAGUGAUAAGUAUCCCACCUGGGGAGUACGGUCGCAAGACUGAAACUC